GGCUUUAUAUUCAAUUUAUGAUAUUAGAAUGCAAUUCUAAAGUUGUGUUUCACUAAAGCUU
RNAcentral lists this transfer RNA (61 nucleotides) under Dicyphus sp. Its description in RNAcentral is "tRNA-Cys". Lineage: Eukaryota; Metazoa; Arthropoda; Insecta; Hemiptera; Miridae. The record is from RNAcentral.